CCACUAGUAAUAAUAAUAAAACUGGAACAAUAUAGAAAAGAUUAGCAUGGCCCCUGCAAAAGGAUGACACGCAAAUUUGUGAAGUGUUCCAUGUUUUA
This is a non-coding RNA of Myotis brandtii (Brandt's bat), 98 nucleotides long. NCBI's taxonomy places the organism in Eukaryota, Metazoa, Chordata, Mammalia, Chiroptera, Vespertilionidae. The record is from Rfam.